RNAcentral lists this ribosomal RNA (407 nucleotides) under uncultured bacterium. RNAcentral describes it as "partial 16S ribosomal RNA". It matches the Rfam family "Bacterial small subunit ribosomal RNA", at positions 28 to 526 of the family's 1533-position model. The record is from RNAcentral.
GACGAACGCUGGCGGCGUGCCUAAUACAUGCAAGUAGGACGCAGUUGCGAACGGUUGAGUAACGCGUAGGUAACUACCUAUUAGAGGGGGAUAACUAUUGGAAACGAUAGCUAAUCCCGCAUACUAGUAGAUGGACCUGCGUUGUAUUAGCUAGUAGGUAGGGUAAAGGCCUACCUGGGCAACGAUACAUAGCCGAACUGAGAGGGUGAUCGGCCACACUGGGACUGAGAAAGGGCCCAGACUCCUGCGGGAGGCAGAAGUAGGGAAUCGUCGGCAAUGGGGGGAACCCUGACCGAGCAACGCCGCGUGAGUGAAGAAGGUUUUCGGAUCGUAAAGCUCUGUUGUUAAGGAAGUGGAACUUAUCCAGAAAGGGACGGGUAACUACGUGCCAGCAGCCGCGGUAAUUC